This 667-nucleotide long non-coding RNA is filed under the name Linum usitatissimum (flax). RNAcentral's name for it is "long non-coding RNA (LUSI_LNC001989)". The record is from RNAcentral. Lineage: Eukaryota; Viridiplantae; Streptophyta; Magnoliopsida; Malpighiales; Linaceae.
ACCGGAUAUGGACCGAACUGUCUCAUUGUCAAUGAGCUGUUGGGUGUUUUAUGAAGCUUUUUGUCUUUGUUGCUGUUUUAAGUCCAAUGAUUAUUUUUUCCGUUACUUGAAGAGCCAGUAGAUGAUAAAUUACUCUAGAUUUGUCCCCCUUUUUUGGACAUCAUUAUACAUUAUGCGAUUAAUGUACUCAGAACCCCUGACACGUGUAGUAUCUUAAUCAAAUAGAAAUCUAACGUUAUAAUUCAGAUAUGCUCUGUUUCUCCUGGAACAAAAAAUGUGGCUUAGGCAUCCCCAGAAGCUAAAUUCUGAUAUUAUUUUACCUUUUUAUGGAUGUUACCUCAUUUAACCUCGAUUACACAGUCCGUAUUGAUGGGUUUUAUUUCUUUCGCAGACUAAAAUUCUGUUGAUUUCUGUACAGGUGGUGAUUGGAUACAGUGUGCUUCCUUUGUCAACACAUGCUCAGUAAGUCUCCAUUUCCUUCACGUUAGACCUUUUUCUAGGUGUUCUUCUGAACGAUUUUCGCCUUCAGUAUUAUGCUAAGAUCAUCAAAUGUGGUCUGGCAUUUGUUUUUUGUGGCAAACCAAUCAUUUAGACAAAAAAAUACGAUGUGCUGUUUUACUCAGGUUGCGAUCUGAAAUUUCUUUACCAAUAAUGAGAGAAUUGGUUC